RNAcentral lists this ribosomal RNA (492 nucleotides) under uncultured bacterium. RNAcentral's name for it is "partial 16S ribosomal RNA". It matches the Rfam family "Bacterial small subunit ribosomal RNA", at positions 29 to 507 of the family's 1533-position model. The record is from RNAcentral.
AGUGAACGCUGGCGGUAGGCCUAACACAUGCCAGUCGAACGGCAGCACAGUAAGAGCUUGCUCUUACGGGUGGCGAGUGGCGGACGGGUGAGGAAUACAUCGGAAUCUACUUUUUCGUGGGGGAUAACGUAGGGAAACUUACGCUAAUACCGCAUACGAUCUACGGGUGAAAGCAGGGGAUCUUCGGACCUUGCUCGAUUGAAUGAGCCGAUGUCGGAUUAGCUAGUUGGCGGGGUAAAGGCCCACCAAGGCGACGAUCCGUAGCUGGUCUGAGAGGAUGAUCAGCCACACUGGAACUGAGACACGGUCCAGACUCCUACGGGAGGCAGCAGUGGGGAAUAUUGGACAAUGGGCGCAAGCCUGAUCCAGCCAUACCGCGUGGGUGAAGAAGGCCUUCGGGUUGUAAAGCCCUUUUGUUGGGAAAGAAAAGCAGCAGGUUAAUACCCCGCUGUUCUGACGGUACCCAAAGAAUAAGCACCGGCUAACUUCGUG